GAGGAAUUUCUUAUUGGAUGGGCUAACCGGGAAACACGGUAGUGGGCCGUACAAUGGGAUCGCCUCUUUUAGCGCUAGACGCAGUGAUAGAGACAACUUUGACUGGUGGGCUUUGGAUCAAGUACAGUCGUUUCUUUUUGUUCUAACGGUCAUCAAAUAAAUCACUCCAAAGAUUCUUUCGUAAAAAAAAAAAAAAAAAAAA
RNAcentral lists this unclassified non-coding RNA (202 nucleotides) under Hevea brasiliensis (rubber tree). The record is from RNAcentral. Lineage: Eukaryota; Viridiplantae; Streptophyta; Magnoliopsida; Malpighiales; Euphorbiaceae.